GUUGAGAAGGGAAUUGACUUGCAUGGGAGCUUUAUGGAAGCUUGCUGGCUAUUAUGGUUGAGAAGGAAUUUGAUUUACAUUGGAGCUUUGUGGAAGCUUUAUUUAUGGCUUUGUGGUUAUUGAUUAAGACUUGGACAUUUCAUAACUUUAUGGGAGUUGUAUGAGACCUAUCAUUUUGUUUGUGAACUUUUGUUAUGAAGACGAUAUAUGAAGG
RNAcentral lists this long non-coding RNA (214 nucleotides) under Elaeis guineensis (African oil palm). RNAcentral's name for it is "long non-coding RNA (EGUI_LNC074227)". The record is from RNAcentral. Lineage: Eukaryota; Viridiplantae; Streptophyta; Magnoliopsida; Arecales; Arecaceae.